UUACACACAUGCAUCACAUACACAAGGGGGCCAUACUGAUCACAAGAUACAUACAUACAUCCUGCAAAACAGAGUUAGGCGUCCUAACGUUCCAAACUUCGGAGGCCCGAAACUCUAUCUUCCAAGCCGAAUUUGGGAAAUCUAAUUUCGCCGAAAAUGGCAAAGCCGUUGAAUUUCAUGUGUAACUUUUUCUGUAGAUCAAUUUUCGUAUAAAAAUCGCCCCGAU
Molecule: long non-coding RNA, 226 nt
Filed under: Setaria viridis
Lineage: Eukaryota; Viridiplantae; Streptophyta; Magnoliopsida; Poales; Poaceae
Description: long non-coding RNA (SVIR_LNC006945)
Source: RNAcentral